This 518-nucleotide ribosomal RNA is filed under the name uncultured bacterium. Its description in RNAcentral is "partial 16S ribosomal RNA". It matches the Rfam family "Bacterial small subunit ribosomal RNA", at positions 29 to 507 of the family's 1533-position model. The record is from RNAcentral.
ACGAACGCUGGCGGCGUGCCUAAUACAUGCAAGUCGAACGCACUCUCGUUUAGAUUGAAGGAGUUUGCUCCUGAUUGAUACACAUUUGAGUGAGUGGCGGACGGGUGAGUAACACGUGGGUAACCUGCCCUAAAGUGGGGGAUAACAUUUGGAAACAGAUGCUAAUACCGCAUAAAACCUAACACCGCAUGGUGUAGGGUUGAAAGAUGGUUUCGGCUAUCACUUUAGGAUGGACCCGCGGUGCAUUAGUUAGUUGGUGAGGUAAAGGCUCACCAAGACCGUGAUGCAUAGCCGACCGAGAGGGUAAUCGGCCACACUGGGACUGAGACACGGCCCAGACUCCUACGGGAGGCAGCAGUAGGGAAUCUUCCACAAUGGACGAAAGUCUGAUGGAGCAACGCCGCGUGAGUGAAGAAGGUUUUCGGAUCGUAAAACUCUGUUGUUGGAGAAGAAUGUAUCUGAUAGUAACUGAUCAGGUAGUGACGGUAUCCAACCAGAAAGCCACGGCUAACUACGUG